Molecule: long non-coding RNA, 873 nt
Organism: Mercurialis annua (annual mercury)
Lineage: Eukaryota; Viridiplantae; Streptophyta; Magnoliopsida; Malpighiales; Euphorbiaceae
Exons: 2
Source: RefSeq, a predicted model, not a curated record
UUUGCCCCUUCCAUACGUCAUUUACAAUAGAGCUGUCUUUCUUUCCACAAAAAUAACUAACACUCAUCUUCAAACUAAAAUUACAUUCAAAUUACCGCCAUUACUGUAUAAAAAAAGACCUAAUCUCUUUCCCAAAAUUGUAAUCCUACCCUAAAUCAAAGCUAAUUCCUCCUUUUCUUCUAUUUAACCACUGAUUCAAUGUUAAUCUCAGUCAAUUGCGGAGCAAUUUAAAUAGAGAAACAUCACCGGUAGAACGGCAACAGAGCAACCUCGUCUAGAACAUUUACACAAUUGCAACUACUGCUGAUCAUAUUAAUUUUGGUAAUGUUUUGUUUAUUGAUGUUUUCAAUUUAUUUGUCUUUUUAAUCAUUUUGAAUUGUAUGUUUAAUUCAAGAAUUCCAUCACAAUCCCACAUACUACAGCUUUUCGAUUGAGAGGUUUUGAACAGUAGUUGACUUGAGGUAUUAUUGCCCUAGAUAGUGAAUAUGUUAGUUCAAAUCUGCACUAUUGGAUUAAUUUGAUAUUCGGUUACAACGAGAAAACCCAACAAUAGAGAUGAAGGUGUUGAUUUAGACUCAAUGGAAGAUGAGUUGCAGACAUCAACAAAUUGAAGACCAAAGUGCAAAUUUUGGCCGAACCAACUUGGAAAUUAUAUGAUGGAAACAUUACAAACUAUUGGUCAUGGAGAAGACUCAUAAAGUUUUGAUUAAUUAAAGAAUGCUAGUGAGAAUUAUAUUUGUCCGGUGCAAAUAAACUAAUAUGUCAAUUAUUUAUUGAAUAGAAUGUUUGUAAGAACUAAUAAUCAAUGAUUUUAUUUUUUGUUAAUCAUAGGAAAUACUUUUACUUAGAUAUAUCAAAAUUUGUUUAUUGUUA